RNAcentral lists this transfer RNA (72 nucleotides) under Marmota monax (woodchuck). It matches the Rfam family "tRNA". Rfam says of the family: Transfer RNA (tRNA) molecules are approximately 80 nucleotides in length. Their secondary structure includes four short double-helical elements and three loops (D, anti-codon, and T loops). Lineage: Eukaryota; Metazoa; Chordata; Mammalia; Rodentia; Sciuridae. The record is from Rfam by way of RNAcentral.
GGUUGUGUGGCUUAGUGGUAGAGUGCUUGCCUCACAUGUAUGAAGUACUGAGUUCGAUCCUCAGCACCACAU